UACCAGCUCUCCGAGUAGUGUGGAUGUUUAUUGGGCCUAAAGCAUCCGUAGCUUGCUAAGCAAGUCCCCUGUUAAAUCCACCGAUUUAAUCGUUGGAUUGCGGGGGAUACUGUUUGGCUAGGGGACGGGAGAGGCCGACGGUAUUUCCGGGGUAGGGGUGAAGUCCUAUAAUCCCGGGAAGACCACCAGUGGCGAAGGCUGUCGGCUAGAACGCGCCCGACGGUGAGGGAUGAAAGCUGGGGGAGCGAACCGGAUUAGAUACCCGGGUAGUCCCAGCUGUAAACGAUGCAGGCUAGGUGUUUGGGCGGCCAAGAGCCGCUCUAGUGCCGCAGGGAAGCUGUUAAGCCUGCCGCCUGGGGAGUACGGCCGCAAGGCUGAAACUUAAAGGAAUUGGCGGGGGAGCACCACAAGGGGUGAAGCUUGCGGUUU
Molecule: ribosomal RNA, 429 nt
Filed under: uncultured archaeon
Lineage: Archaea
Description: bacterial SSU rRNA
Rfam family: Archaeal small subunit ribosomal RNA
Source: RNAcentral